AAUUAAUUCAAAUUUAAUUGUUAAUACUCUCGAACAUGCAGCAACUUCCUGGCAAAGCCGAAGUAACCUAUACGUAUACACUCCAGUGAUCAUGAUUUUCACUCUGUUGAUCACGGACUUCUAACUUCAACAGCAAAGCCGUAACCUAUACCUGUACAUCAGAUCAGAAAUCUGAUUCUAAUUUGUUAACAUUACCCGUCUCAUUUG
This 207-nucleotide unclassified non-coding RNA is filed under the name Hevea brasiliensis (rubber tree). Lineage: Eukaryota; Viridiplantae; Streptophyta; Magnoliopsida; Malpighiales; Euphorbiaceae. The record is from RNAcentral.